This 29-nucleotide non-coding RNA is filed under the name Mus musculus (house mouse). Lineage: Eukaryota; Metazoa; Chordata; Mammalia; Rodentia; Muridae. The record is from RNAcentral.
UGCUGGAACACAUACAUCGAUCUUUAUUC